CAUCCACUCUCACAUACCCCUGUGCACUUAUUGUAGGCUUUGGUUGGACGGAGGUUGUACUUGUGUGCACUUCUGAAAGACUUGAGUCUAUGUUUCACACAACAAACGAUUCAGUUAAAGAAUGUCAUUUAGCGUUUAACGCAAAUAUAAAUAUAUGGAAUAAAUAUACAACUUUCAGCAACGGAUCUCUUGGCUCUCGCAUCGAUGAAGAACGCAGCGAAAUGCGAUAAGUAAUGUGAAUUGCAGAAUUCAGUGAAUCAUCGAAUCUUUGAACGCACCUUGCGCUCCCUGGUAUUCCGGGGAGCAUGCCUGUUUGAGUGUCAUGGUACUCUCAACUUCUAUAGCUUUUGUGUUGUAGAAGCUUGGACUUGGAGGUUGUGUUGGCUUUGAACAUAUAUAUAUAUAUUUAAAAGUCAACUCCUCUGAAAUUUAUUAGUGUGAACCUUACGGAUUGCCUUCAGUGUGAUAAUAAUUGUCUACACUGUGGUAUUGAAGUAUAUAUUNGUGCUCACGCUUCUAAUCGUCUGCUUGCAGACAAUAUGAAAUAUUUAACUUGACAAUCUGACCUCAAAUCAGGUAGGACUACCCGCUGAACUUAAGCAUAUCAU
Molecule: ribosomal RNA, 608 nt
Filed under: Climacodon septentrionalis
Lineage: Eukaryota; Fungi; Basidiomycota; Agaricomycetes; Polyporales; Meruliaceae
Description: eukaryotic LSU rRNA
Rfam family: 5.8S ribosomal RNA (bases 170-323)
Source: RNAcentral